UCCGUAGGUGGAUCAAUCAGUCAGAGGUGAAAUCCUGCAGCUUAACUGUAGAACUGCCUUUGAUACUGUUGAUCUUGAGUCAUUAUGAAGUGGUUAGAAUGUGUAGUGUAGCGGUGAAAUGCAUAGAUAUUACACAGAAUACCGAUUGCGAAGGCAGACCACUAAUAAUGUACUGACACUGAGGGACGAAAGCGUGGGGAGCGAACAGGAUUAGAUACCCUGGUAGUCC
RNAcentral lists this ribosomal RNA (229 nucleotides) under uncultured bacterium. RNAcentral's name for it is "partial 16S ribosomal RNA". It matches the Rfam family "Bacterial small subunit ribosomal RNA", at positions 568 to 796 of the family's 1533-position model. The record is from RNAcentral.